RNAcentral lists this ribosomal RNA (252 nucleotides) under uncultured bacterium. RNAcentral's name for it is "partial 16S ribosomal RNA". It matches the Rfam family "Bacterial small subunit ribosomal RNA", at positions 524 to 776 of the family's 1533-position model. The record is from RNAcentral.
UACGGAGGAUGCGAGCGUUAUCCGGAUUUAUUGGGUUUAAAGGGUGCGUAGGCGGAUCGUUAAGUCAGUGGUCAAAUUGAGGGGCUCAACCCCUUCCCGCCAUUGAAACUGGCGCUCUUGAGUGGAAGAGAAGUAUGCGGAAUGCGUGGUGUAGCGGUGAAAUGCAUAGAUAUCACGCAGAACCCCGAUUGCGAAGGCAGCAUGCAGGCUUCCGACUGACGCUGAAGCACGAAAGCGUGGGGAUCGAACAGG